GAUGAAGAACGUAGCGAAAUGCGAUAAGUAAUGUGAAUUGCAGAAUUCAGUGAACCAUCGAAUCUUUGAACGCACAUUGCGCCCGGCAGUAAUCUGCCGGACAUGCCUGUCCGAGCGUCAUUUCUACCCUCGAGCGAGUCCAGCAUCUAGGUGCUGGGCCUCGCCCGGCGUUGGAGCACUACGGGAAGCCCUGUGCUGUCCCCCGUAGGCCCCGAAAUGAAGUGGCGGUCCUGCCGCGGCGCCCCCUGCGUAGUAUAACAGCUCGCUUCGGGACCCGGUGGAGGCCUGCCGUCAAACCUAUACCCUCUAAGUUUGACCUCGGAUCAGGUAGGGUUACCCGCUGAACUUAAGCAUAUCAAUAAGCGGAGGA
RNAcentral lists this unclassified non-coding RNA (370 nucleotides) under soil metagenome. RNAcentral's name for it is "partial contains 5.8S ribosomal RNA, internal transcribed spacer 2, and large subunit ribosomal RNA". The stretch from base 1 to 120 matches the Rfam family "5.8S ribosomal RNA", at positions 35 to 154 of the family's 154-position model. The record is from RNAcentral.